This 5876-nucleotide long non-coding RNA is filed under the name Chlamydomonas reinhardtii. RNAcentral's name for it is "long non-coding RNA (CREI_LNC001125)". Lineage: Eukaryota; Viridiplantae; Chlorophyta; Chlorophyceae; Chlamydomonadales; Chlamydomonadaceae. The record is from RNAcentral.
CAGCUCCGCCGCGCGCGCAUCCGCAAAGCCGUCGCCCACCAGCCGCUGCCUGAAGUAGUCGCAGCGCGCGGACAGGAUGCCGCGGUGGCAGUGGAAGCGGCGCUCGCUCACACGGACGGUGAGGUCUGCGGUGCCGUCGGGCUGCGCGUCCAGCAGCGCACCCAGGUCGGCGGGCAGGCUGCGCGGCGGCGGCGGCGCAGCUACAGCCGGUGCCGCUGCUGUAACAGGCAUCUGUGGCAGUAGCGGCUGCAACCCGAGGUCCAGCAGAAUGAGGCUGUCAGGUGCGCCGAGGGCCAGGAACCCGUUUGGCAGGACGGCGUGGCAUGAAGCACACUCCAGCAACCCCGUCACGAGUGUCUCUACACGGCCUCCUGGUGACACACGGCACAGGCGGUCAGAAUACACGACGUAAAUGGAUCCUUCGGCGUCCACGGCUUGCGCAUUGCCCUGCAAGUCCCCAAACUCUAACUCAGGCCUCGCGCCCGGACCGGCAUCAGUCAGCUCCAGGCGUUGCAAGGCCAGUGGUGUCGCCGCGCCGCCGGAAGCAGCAGCAGCUGCAGUUGCAGGCGCAGGUGCCGGCAGGACAGACUGCGGCGGCGGCAGUGGGAGCGGCAGGCGGUAGAAACCGUCCUUUAUGGCGUACACCACCCACCCGCCGCCUGCACCGCCACCGCCGCCGAUGCUACUGCCGUUGCAGCUGCUUGCGCCCUGACCAUCCCCCGCAGCAGGCCCCUGCUGCUCCUGCGGCUGCGGCUGCGAUGACACGCGGGAUGCGCUGUAUAGGUAGUCAGGUACGCCUGUCAACAAAGUUGUGACCGUGACUGCCGAUGCGGCUGCUACUGCCCCUCCCGCUGCUGCGGCCGUGCCAGCGGGCAUCCGGGGACCUGCCGCCGUGCCACCUGUAGCGGCAGCAGUGAUACCCGCCCACUGCCAUGAUGCUGGAAGCUGCAGCCUCCGGAUGCGACGUAAAUUACCUCCAUCGACGACCAACAGGCUACCGGCGCCGUCGGACACAAGCGUGUGCGGCCAAUAGAAACGGGCCGCUGGGCCCUCGCCGUCCGCUUCGCCUUCUUCCAGUAUGCUUCCCGCCACCAGCUCCACCUCAUCGCCCAGCAGCUUCAGCACUGCCUUACCGCACACAAAGUACAGCGCGGCCGACCAGGGGUCCCAGCAGAAAUCGUUGAAAUCCCUGCGUUCGCUGUUGAAGCACCGCCGUGGCCCGGCGCCACUGCCGCCUGCCCAGAACAGGUCGAUGGGAUCGCCUAGCGAGAAGCCCCAGCGCGCAUCGGUUCCGAGCAGCGGGCGCAGAACCGCAUCGCACACCAAAGCCUGCACACGCUGCUCGUUGCUAGGGUCCAGUCGCAGAAAUACAUCGUCUAAAUUAUUUCCCAAUGGUAAUUUGCAGCCUGCAACGUUUUGCAGGUACUGCAUUAUCUGAUAGCUCUUUCACAGUUUUUCAGGACAGCUUGGUACGCUUGGACAUAGCAUGCUUGAGGAAUGACAGAAAUGUACAUGCGCUGCGCGUAGCAAUUUCUGAGCGCCCGUCCCAUGAGCAUGAGCAUUUACAUGGCGUCGUAGUCCAUGCGGCCCCACUAACUCCUAUGAGUCCGGAGGCGCAUAUAGCAGAACAAAACAGGUUCAGUCCGCUCAAUCGCCCCGCAGUAUGCUAGUACGCAGAGUCUGCACUGAGUACAGGAACUCCCGCCGAUGGUCACAUCUGGAAGCUCCACCGGCCAGAAGCCCAGAACCAGCCCCCAGACCCGGAACAAACCUGUUCUCGGCCCCCCCCCCUUCCCCCAGUGCUUCGCAGUUGGACGCGGCGGUGUUUUGCACAUACAGCCUACUUGACAUGGACAGCACCGCAUGCUACACCGUGCGCGCCACCUUGCCGCACACCAACGACAUUUGUUGACGCACACAUCUGGAAGAUCUGGACGCCCCAACACUGGACGCCCCAACAGCCGCACAGACAUACCAGCCGCAUCCAGCUCCCCAGAAACCACUCCUGUGUCCCCAGAGCGGUUAUGAGGUCCAAUGCGGAUCUCCCUGUUUCCGCUGCAAGUAGGCUACUGAUGGUUUCCGCUCGAGCGCAGCGAGUUGUCGGAAACCAAGGUUUCCUGCGUUCGGAGUGUACGUUGUUGUGGGCCCCGAAGGGGCGUGGCGUGUGUGUUUGUUCAUUGGGGCCCAUGCGCCGCAUGGGCGGUGGGCCCGGUUUAGUAGCGGAGCGCGGGGUCGCGCUCGCUACUUUGCGAGUUUCCUUCUGUCAGUACUGACUACCGUCGUCCCUGACUGCGCGGUCUGCGUGGUCACACGGCGGUUCGGGCUCGCCCUCCCAACCCCGCACGAAGACCGCAGUUCUCUGCUUGCAGGUACCCUCCCCGGCGGCGGAGCCGCCCUCACAACUUGUAACAUGACGCAAUGCAUGGAAAGAUAUGCAGAAUGACAAGCGCGGCCACCUUCUCAGAACAGCCCAGCCGCCUGCACACAGAGCAAGUUGCAACAGCGGCUGUGUGGUCAGUGCCCCAGUGAAGGAGUGUGGCCGUGUAGGGAGUUGUGAGGGCAAUGAUAAGUGACUUGUCAUAUGGUAACCACAAUGCCCAGGACUUGCGGGUACCAUACCGUAGUGCGCUUGCAGGUGCCUGGGGACUCCGCCCUCCUGCCGACCCCCCAAACACCACCACCAACCCCACACGAACCCGCUUCCCACCACCCCCUGCUUCCAACUGCUUUCAAGCUCCCCCUCCCACCUGCUUGAGCUUGUUCCGCCGCCAGGCCGGCAGCGCCACAAACUCCUGGUACGACAGCCCACCGCCACUGCCGCCGCCGCCGCCGCCGCCGCCACAAGCACCUGCGAUCGGGCCGAACGCCGCCGCCCAGUCGUCCGCGCCGAGCCACUGCUCCCUGCAGCCGCCGUCCACGUCGGGCGGCCACGUCAGCCCGGGCGCCAGUGCUGCCAGCGGGUAGCACACCGGCCGGCCUGGGGAGGGGCAGGAGGGAGGGGGAGCGAGGGAGGGUGGAGGGGGGAAGGCGUUCUUAUUGCGACUUGAACCGAGACCCAGAACCCAGCCUGGCUGUCGUUUCCAGUCCCGAGAGGGGGAUGGGACAUACGGGGGCGACCGUGACCGUGACAGUGUGGCAGCACGUGCCUCCCGCCGGGUGACAAGGCCAAGGCGAAAUGAAUGCCACCACAACACAACGCCCACCAUAUACCAUACCAGACGUGCUGUCUUAUGCAUUCUGCGUGCUGCAUCCGUGGCCUCUUCUUCUUGCCACCUUGAUCGUGUCAACCCCAUCUCCCCGGUGUCAACCCUGGCCCCCUGUCAACCGUCUCACCCGCCACGGACGUCUCCUGCCGCGGCGCUGCGGCCUCCGCCGGCGGGGCCUGGCGCUCCCGCACUCGGCCCAGUCCCGCCUUUAUGGAGGCCAGGCAGGACCGCUGCUCCGCCAGCGCGGCCUGUGGAGGGAAGGGGGGCACAGCCUGACAGUAGCCCCUUGAGUGACCCCCCCCUGCAUUCCAAAUGCCUCACUCAUGCCGUGUCUCCCCCCUCCGGCCCCCCUCCCCCUCCGGCCCCCCUCCUUCCCCCUACCGCUAGGCUGUCGUGCACGUCCGGCCCCAGGCAGGCCCGCAGUGUGGCCGCAUCACGCAGCCCCACCAGCGUCUCAAAGCUGCAGCAGGCCAGUGCGGGGGGUCGGGUCGGGUCGGGUCAGGUCGGGUUGUAAGGAAGGAUGAUAUGCGAGUUGCGGGUGAUGGCCAGGAGCGAAAGGUGCUUUGGUUGCUGUUCCUUUGAAAGGCGCAGGUGAGGCAGCAGGUCUGCAAGUAGCGGUUCUUAUACGGUAGCGGCCCACGUGUGCGGCCCCAUCCCACCCCCCUUGGCCCAAUCCGGCCCCAUCCCGCCCCGGAUCCGGCCCCCAUCCCGCCCCGGAUCCGGGCCCCAUCCGGCCCUAUGCCGCCUGUACUGCCCCGCCCCGCCCCUCGCCUACCUGUUGACGGCGUAGCGCAGGCGGGCGGCCGCUAUGGGUGCGAACGCGGCGCCCUCCACCCCCCGCGCCAACGCCAGGAGCUCGCAGCAGUUGUGGACCGAUGAGAUGCGGCGCAGGAUGACCUGAGAAUGGGGGUGGGGGUGGGGGGCAGUGGGGGACGGGCGGGGGGGGAGCUGAGGGGUUGGUGAAAGGUAGACAGGUCAAAUGAUGUCAGGGUGAGAGUGGUGGUGCUGGGCAGAGGGCGAGAGGGGCAUGAGAUAGGGUGUUGGUCUGGUCCAGGGGGCGGCAGGGAAUGCGGCAGGCGGGAGGGUCUGGGGAAGCAAGGGCGGAUGUGGGCUGCUGCACGGCCCAGCCACGGCCGGCCCAGCCACGGCACGGCGUACACACGGCACACGUGUUGCCCCCGGUCAAGCACAAAUGAAGGCACGCAGCCACUCACCCGGUCACAAACUUACUGCAGGCACCGUGGCUCCGAUGGCAGCGCCCCUGCCGCUGUUUGCACCUCCGCCUCCGCCCCCUCCUGCGUUGCCGUGUCGUGUCUGCUGGCCUAUCCCUCCCCACCCAACGGCCAACGAACGGCCCGCCAGUAGAGGCAGUAGAGGCUCCAACGGUGGCGGCCACUGCCGAGCCCCGUCGACCUCUCCCUCGCCGCCUCGAACGCUGGGUCUCCGCAACCGCCGAGACACCGGCCCUGCCCCCAGGCGCCCCGGCUUCCAUGCCUGCAACGCCGACCCAGGUCCUCACAUUGAGCCGGGCCAGGGUACUUCUAGCGGCGCGUGAGCUAAGCUGUGUUUCAAAGGAGUCCAGGAAACUUAGUUCGUGAGGCUACGUAAGUUGUCAGGGCAUGCACCAUCGUGUCGCCCCCCCCCCACGUACCCGCUCUUCCCGAGACACCGUCCACUAGUACCCAAGGCCUCAGCAAGUUCCACCGUAAGCGCCUACUUCAUUCUGGCCUAAUCGCCAAAACAUCCUACGAGUUCUUCAACAACCGUGUCCACAUGCCAACAGACCUAAACUGAAGCUCACAACACGGGAAGUCGGCAUGCGAUUGUAGUUUCCACCUCUCCCUCUCACCUCUCGUGCACGCUUUGCGGCUGCUGCCGGGCCAUGGCGGCCAAGAAAGACCCUGCUGUGCUUCGCUCUAGACCCUAAGAAAGAUGCAUUCCGCUGCUAGGCCCUAAGAUGAAUGCACUGUAUGUACGGCGGAUACCCACACUCUCGAACAGCUAGCCAGCCCGUCAGUCCUGGUGCAGCCAUGCCGCAUAGCCGCUAGCUGCGCCUGGCCCGCUUGGCCCCCGCAUCCGUACACCACACCGCCACCGCGUCCAUCAGCUCUAUCAUCAGCUCAGGCGCCUCUGACACCAGGCGCUUGCGGCCGGCACCCGCCUCCGCCGCCACCUGUUCGUGGUGCUGCACGUACCACGCCUUCAGCUGCGCCAGCAGGCCGCCAAAGCCCUCGCCGCGCGUCUCACAGCAGCCCGCGGCCCACAGCAGCUUGUCAAUCACCGUCGCGGCCGACACGGACUCCGCCACCACCGCCAGCGCCACACCAAGCAGCUCCGGCAGCAGCAGCCGGUCCGCCAGCUCAGCCACGCCGCACGCCUGAUCGACCGCUAUGGUGGCGGUCCCAGUGUACAGCCACCGCAGCAGCAGCGCGAAGGCGUCGGCGUCCGUAUCCGGCAGCUCCAGCUCCGCCGCGCGCGCAUCCGCAAAGCCGUCGCCCACCAGCCGCUGCCUGAAGUAGUCGCAGCGCGCGGACAGGAUGCCGCGGUGGCAGUGGAAGCGGCGCUCGCCCACACGGACGGUGAGGUCUGCGGUGCCGUCGGGCUGCGCGUCCAGCAGCGCACCCAGGUCGGCGGGCAGGCUGCGCGGCGGCGGCGGCGCAGCUACAGCCG